AAGUUUAGGAAUAGCUAUUUCAGAGGCUGUGGAGGUUGCAGCGAAGAACGCUGACACCAAGUAUUGUUUGGGAAGUGUUCUGAAUCAUGUUUUGUUACAUCAGACCGUUAUCGGUGAGGAGUGUAUAAAACAGAUGGAGGAUUUCGGAGAGACUCCAGAUGUGAUCAUCGGUUGCACGGGAGGUGGAUCUAAUUUUGCAGGACUUGCUUUCCCGUUUAUCCGGGAGAAGCUUAAGGGGAGAAUUAACCCUCUUAUUAGAGCGGUUGAACCUACAGCUUGCCCCUCGUUGACGAAAGGUGUGUAUGCUUACGACUAUGGAGACACCGCAGGCAUGACUCCUUUAAUGAAAAUGCAUACACUUGGUCAUGACUUCAUACCGGAUCCCAUCCAUUCCGGGGGUCUCCGUUACCACGGCAUGGCACCACUGAUAUCACACGUCUAUGAACUCGGAUUCAUGGAAGCAAUAUCAAUUCCGCAGAUUGAAUGUUUCCAAGGUGCUAUUCAGUUUGCGAGGUCUGAGGGGUUGAUACCAGCACCAGAACCAACGCAUGCUAUAGCCGCUACUAUAAGGGAAGCUCUAAGAUGUAAAGAGACCGGAGAAUCGAAAGUUAUACUCAUGGCAAUGUGUGGACAUGGACAUUUUGAUUUGUCAUCUUACGAUAAGUAUUUGCAGGGAAGCAUGGUUGAUUUGUCCUUCUCAGAAGAGAAAAUAAAAGCCUCACUCGCGAAGAUACCACAACCAGUAUCAUAAGUUGAUCCAAGUCGAGGAGACGAUGAAAAUAGGAGGUACGUAGUGGAAUUUGGUUUGUACUUUUCUCCACGAAUAAUGUUUUCGUAGUUCUGCCAAGUUGAAGAAUAACAUGCCCCCAACCCCCUCAAUCUUUUGAUCGAAUAAUAUUCGAUACAAUUAGUUGUAGCUUUGUAAGUUGUUGUGUGGCCUUCAACUUUUCGAGUUGUGUGUAAUCAUCUAUAUGAUUGACUUGACAACAAUGAAGGAUCUGGGAGUGGCAUUUCAUCAUUUUGUGCUAAGUUUU
RNAcentral lists this unclassified non-coding RNA (1034 nucleotides) under Hevea brasiliensis (rubber tree). Lineage: Eukaryota; Viridiplantae; Streptophyta; Magnoliopsida; Malpighiales; Euphorbiaceae. The record is from RNAcentral.